This 199-nucleotide long non-coding RNA is filed under the name Vigna radiata. Its description in RNAcentral is "long non-coding RNA (VRAD_LNC011774)". The record is from RNAcentral. Lineage: Eukaryota; Viridiplantae; Streptophyta; Magnoliopsida; Fabales; Fabaceae.
UAAGAGAGUUUGGAUCUUAGAGAGAGGUUCAUGUGAAACAUUUGUUUGAUUUUAUUUAUAUUUUCUUAAGGGUAAAAAUGUCCUUUCCAUUUUGUAAUUAAGGUGUGAAAGUUAUAAAUAAGGGUGUGGCAAUGCACAUAGCUCGAGCUUUAUAUUGUGUUAUUCUAUCAUUAUUUUUAUGUUUCUUUUUCUGCGUUUC